AAAGGAUUAAAACCUAUAGC
RNAcentral lists this small nuclear RNA (20 nucleotides) under Arabidopsis thaliana (thale cress). Its description in RNAcentral is "snRNA_08460". The record is from RNAcentral. Lineage: Eukaryota; Viridiplantae; Streptophyta; Magnoliopsida; Brassicales; Brassicaceae.